GCGAGCUGGAGCCUGGCUUCCGCGGCCCUGGGACACUGCAGAGCCUUCUGGGAAUUUCAGCAACCGGAAGGGGAGGUCGGCGCCUGCGCGGCACCGUGGCUUCCCCAGCGGCCUUGCUGAAAAGCUUUGAAGGUAUCACUGCCAAAAAGGUGACUAGAAAAUCACAAGGCUUAAGAGAAACAACGUAAGUGACAUCACUUUAAAAGAAAAGAGGUCACUCGGAAAGAAAUGUUUCUGUUGAGUGCAAAAGCCGGAACCCUAAGAUCUACGGACUAGACAGAGACUGGCCACCCCAUCCGGGAUUAAGGAAAGCUCUGCCUGUGCCACCAUGCCUGGCCUGUGAAUACAUUUGAUGCCUACAUGAACCAUCAUGCUCCCAGCACCGGCCUGGAGCUCACCACCCGAG
Molecule: long non-coding RNA, 406 nt
Organism: Microtus oregoni (creeping vole)
Lineage: Eukaryota; Metazoa; Chordata; Mammalia; Rodentia; Cricetidae
Exons: 3
Source: RefSeq, a predicted model, not a curated record